UUUAGAGGAAGUAAAAGUCGUAACAAGGUUUCCGUAGGUGAACCUGCGGAAGGAUCAUUAUUGAUUGGUCGAAAGACCUUAUCAGAUUCUACCACCUCUGUGAACCGUUGACCUCCGGGUUAAUAAUCAAACAUCAGUGUAACGAACGUAAGAGUAUCUUAAUUAAACAAAACUUUUAACAACGGAUCUCUUGGCUCUCGCAUCGAUGAAGAACGCAGCGAAAUGCGAUAAGUAAUGUGAAUUGCAGAAUUCAGUGAAUCAUCGAAUCUUUGAACGCACCUUGCGCCUUUUGGUAUUCCGAAAGGCAUGCCUGUUUCAGUGUCAUGAAAUCUCAAUCUAAUAUGUUUUCUGAACAUGUUAGGCUUGGACUUGGGUGUCUGCCAGCAAUGGCUCACCUUAAAUGACUUAGUGGAACAUCCCACAUCAGUGUUAGACGUAAUAAGUUUCGUCUCUCCCUGUGGUGAUGACUGCUCAGAACCUGCCAUCGCGCAUCUUUUGACUUUGACCUGAAAUCAGGUAGGGCUACCCGCUGAACUUAAGCAUAUCAAUAAG
Molecule: ribosomal RNA, 552 nt
Filed under: uncultured fungus
Lineage: Eukaryota; Fungi
Description: eukaryotic LSU rRNA
Rfam family: 5.8S ribosomal RNA (bases 171-324)
Source: RNAcentral